This 1043-nucleotide ribosomal RNA is filed under the name uncultured organism. Its description in RNAcentral is "bacterial SSU rRNA". It matches the Rfam family "Bacterial small subunit ribosomal RNA", at positions 380 to 1421 of the family's 1533-position model. The record is from RNAcentral.
AGCCUGAACCAGGCAUGCCGUGUGCAGGAUGACAGUCCUACGGAUUGUAAACUGCUUUUCUGCAAGAACAAAUGUUCCGACGUGUCGGGAUCUGACGGUAUUGCACGAAUAAGCAUCGGCUAACUCCGUGCCAGCAGCCGCGGUAAUACUGAGGAUGCCAGCGUAAUCCGGAUUCAUUGCGUCUAAAUGGUGCGUAUGCGGAUUAGAUAGUCAAAGGUGAAAGCCUGCAGCUUAACUGUCAAAGUGCCUUUGAUACUGCUAAUCUUGAGUACAGUUGAGGCGAGUGGAAUGUGUAGUGUAGCGGUGAAAUGCAUAGAUACUACACAGAACACCAAUUGCGAAGGCAGCUCGCUAAGCUGUUACUGACGCCCAGGCACGAAAGCGUGGGGAGCGAACAGGAUUAGAUACCCUGGUAGUCCACGCUGUAAACUAUGAUCACUAGCUGUUGGCGAUAAAUUGUCAGUGGCUCAGCGAAAGCGUUAAGUCGAUCCACCUGGGGAGUACGAUCGCAAGGUUGAAAAUCGAAGGAAUUGACGGGGGCCCGCACAAGCGGUGGAACAUGUGGUUUAAUUCGAUGAUACGCGAGGAACCUUACCUGGGAUUAAAUGUAGCGAGACGUCUCGAGAAAUCGGGAUUCCCUUCGGGGCGAAAUACAAGCUGCUGCAUGGUUCUCGUCAGCUCGUGCCGUGAGGUAUCGGGUUAAGUCCCAUAACGAGCGCAACCCUUAUUGUUAGUUGCCAUGCGGAUAAUGCCGGGGACUCUAACUUCACUGCCCGUGUAAACGGGAGGAAUGGUGGGGAUGACGUCAAAUCAGCACGGCCCUUAUGUCCAGGGCUACACACGUGUUACAAUGGCUGGAACAAAGGGCAGCUACCACGCAAGUGGAUGCUAAUCUCUCAAUUCCAGUCCCAGUUCGGAUCGUAGUCUGCAAUUCGACUUCGUGAAGAUGGAAUCGCUAGUAAUCGCGCAUCAGCAAUGGCGCGGUGAAUAUGUUCCCGGGCCUUGUACACAAUGCCCGUCAAGCCAUGGAAGUUAGUAGUACC